Molecule: long non-coding RNA, 441 nt
Organism: Fukomys damarensis (Damara mole-rat)
Lineage: Eukaryota; Metazoa; Chordata; Mammalia; Rodentia; Bathyergidae
Source: Ensembl
AGCAAAUAGGGAAAUAGAUCCUUCUCAACUGGACAGGAGAUCAAGAGAUGGAGGGAUGGGAAGAAAAGAAGAAUGAAGAUGUGCUCUGUACACAUGCCAACUCCACACAAGGAGUGUAAACAUUAUGCACUGCAGACUGUACUGAGAGAACAGGAAAGCAACAGAAAAGAUUCUUCAGAGGAAGACACUCUGUAGCGUUCAUCCCCCAAGAUGAGUUCCCCAAGGGAAGCAGAAUUUUGCCAAAGUCUUCUGCUUGAAAACCAAAUUGUUUGAGAACAGAGUUUGUCAACUGAGGCAUUACUCUAAAUCUAAAAGAAAGAUACGUCUAAGGUCUCUCCGGCUGCCUGCCCAGGACCACCCGGCUGGUGCGCAACCUCCCGGACUGCACGGCACCAGAUCCAGUAAGUAAGGUAGCCACACGGGCACCCUUGAAACACCCCC